Small nuclear RNA from Rhinolophus ferrumequinum (greater horseshoe bat), 107 nucleotides. Lineage: Eukaryota; Metazoa; Chordata; Mammalia; Chiroptera; Rhinolophidae. The record is from Ensembl.
GUGCCCACGUUGGCAGCACAUACACUAAAAUUGGAAUGACACAGAGUUAGUUAGCAUGGCCCCUAUGCAAUGAUGACAUGCAAUAUUAUGACGUAUUCCAUAUCUUU